AAGUUUGAUCGUGGCUCAGAUUGAACGCUGGCGGCAGGCCUAACACAUGCAAGUCGAGCGGAUGACGGGAGCUUGCUCCUUGAUUCAGCGGCGGACGGGUGAGUAAUGCCUAGGAAUCUGCCUGGUAGUGGGGGACAACGUUUCGAAAGGAACGCUAAUACCGCAUACGUCCUACGGGAGAAAGCAGGGGACCUUCGGGCUUUGCGCUAUCAGAUGAGCCUAGGUCGGAUUAGCUAGUUGGUGGGGUAAUGGCUCACCAAGGCGACGAUCCGUAACUGGUCUGAGAGGAUGAUCAGUCACACUGGAACUGAGACACGGUCCAGACUCCUACGGGAGGCAGCAGUGGGGAAUAUUGGACAAUGGGCGAAAGCCUGAUCCAGCCAUGCCGCGUGUGUGAAGAAGGUCUUCGGAUUGUAAAGCACUUUAAGUUGGGAGGAAGGGCAGUAAGUUAAUACCUUGCUGUUUUGACGUUACCGACAGAAUAAGCACCGGCUAACUCUGUGCCAGCCG
RNAcentral lists this ribosomal RNA (510 nucleotides) under bacterium enrichment culture clone ALO1_GLFRUDD03HENIC. RNAcentral describes it as "bacterial SSU rRNA". It matches the Rfam family "Bacterial small subunit ribosomal RNA", at positions 9 to 514 of the family's 1533-position model. The record is from RNAcentral.